This 708-nucleotide ribosomal RNA is filed under the name Perenniporia sp. BAB-5014. RNAcentral describes it as "eukaryotic LSU rRNA". The stretch from base 296 to 449 matches the Rfam family "5.8S ribosomal RNA". Lineage: Eukaryota; Fungi; Basidiomycota; Agaricomycetes; Polyporales; Polyporaceae. The record is from RNAcentral.
AUGAGCAGGGCGUGCACAUGCCUCGGAAGGCCAGCAACAACCCAGUCAAAACGCGAUAAUGAUCCUUCCGUAGGGUGAACCUGCGGAAGGAUCAUUAUCGAGUUUUGACUGGGUUGUAGCUGGCCUUCCGAGGCAUGUGCACGCCCUGCUCAUCCACUCUACACCUGUGCACCUUACUGUGGGUUUCAGACGGCGUAGCGAGCCUUUACGGGUUCGUGAAAGCGUCUGUGCCCGCGUUUAUUACAAACUCUUACAAGUAAAAGAAUGUGUAUUGCGAUAUAACGCAUCUAUAUACAACUUUCAGCAACGGAUCUCUUGGCUCUCGCAUCGAUGAAGAACGCAGCGAAAUGCGAUAAGUAAUGUGAAUUGCAGAAUUCAGUGAAUCAUCGAAUCUUUGAACGCACCUUGCGCUCCUUGGUAUUCCGAGGAGCAUGCCUGUUUGAGUGUCAUGAAAUCUUCAACCUAUAAACCUUUGCGGGUUUGUAGGCUUGGACUUGGAGGCUUGUCGGCCUAACGGUCGGCUCCUCUUAAAUGCAUUAGCUUGAUUCCUUGCGGAUCGGCUCUCGGUGUGAUAAUUGUCUACGCCGCGACCGUGAAGCGUUUGGCGAGCUUCUAAUCGUCUCUUGUGAGACAACACAUUGACCUCUGACCUCAAAUCAGGUAUGACUUUCCGCUGAACUUUAAGCAUAUCAAUAAGCGGAGGAAAAA